AUGUUGUUCAUUGACCUUGAGAAGGCCUAUGAUAAGAUACCGCGAAAUGUCAUAUGGUGGGCCUUGGAGAAACACAAAGUCCCAGCGAAGUACAUUACCCUCAUCAAGGACAUGUACGAUAAUGUUGUGACAAGUGUUCGAACAAGUGAUGUCGACACUGAUGACUUACCGAUUAAGAUAGGACUACACCAGGGGUCAGCAUUGAGCCCUUAUCUUUUUGCCUUGGUGAUGGAUGAGGUCACAAGGGAUAUACAAGGAGAUAUCCCAUGGUGUAUGCUCUUUGCGGAUGAUGUGGUGCUAGUUGACGAUAGUCGGACGGGGUAA
This 324-nucleotide ribosomal RNA is filed under the name Triticum aestivum (bread wheat). Its description in RNAcentral is "partial small subunit ribosomal RNA". The record is from RNAcentral. Lineage: Eukaryota; Viridiplantae; Streptophyta; Magnoliopsida; Poales; Poaceae.